Long non-coding RNA from Varroa destructor (honeybee mite), 1235 nucleotides. RefSeq lists it as uncharacterized. The record is from RefSeq and is a predicted model, not a curated record. NCBI's taxonomy places the organism in Eukaryota, Metazoa, Arthropoda, Arachnida, Mesostigmata, Varroidae.
AAACAAUAGACUCAGGCCCAGGCCCAGCCGACUUAUAAAUAUUAAACUCAGAACAUCUUAGCUUCUCUUCUGAGAAUGACGCACGUUCAUCCAGAUAGGCUAUUCAGGCCGAGAUGGUAGUUACCCGCAAUACCAAGCGAUGGCUUGUCAAGUGAGGGAGGGUGACCGCUACGGUCCGUCCGACACAAAUUCGCCGGCUAACGAUAUGCUCUGAGGCCUUGUAGCGAUGCCUAGCAGCAAUAGUUGCUUAGAGCAUACUCAACCCAUCGUUCCCUAUGCAACCAGACGUGCAUGGUCGUCACCGCUAAUCAAAAUGGAUAUCGCUAGUGUCAAAAUGCAGCAAGAUCACAGGGAUGUGGAAAGCUUUGGUCUGCCUAAUAUCAUUUUGCCUCCGGAACUCAGUCUUCCUCUAGCCGGAUAUGAUAAAGCUGGUUAGAGAUCAGAACUAACUCGUUAAAGAGAAGGACGUUGUUGGAUUCUAAGCCCGGAGGGAAGCGCCACAGGAGGUUCUUCGAUAGCGGCGAUAUGGAUCACAAGAACCGAUAAAAGUAUCCAAAUGCCGUUCUUACACCCUCUACAAGUACUUUAUCAUAGCCUAUUAAAACGAGUACGUCCCGUUUUUCUUUGAAGCUUUUGUUAGCGUCGCGGAAGAACGGUUGGAUAUUCCUAAAUGAAAGUUCAGAUUUUGCCAGAAUUUGCCAGAUGAAGCCUUUUAUCAAGGCUUUCGUUGGAUCGAUCAUCGGAAAGAGGAGCUGGAGGCGCACGAGCGUGGGCGUUCAAAGCCAUGUUAUUACCACCUUUGCAACGCACGUACAUGCCCGAAAAAAUAUACUUUACGUUACGUGUAUGUCGAAGCCUUGUAUAAAGUACAGCAGCUUACUACCGCUGGAGUAACACAAAUAGGAAUCGGAACUUUAAAAGAAUAUCUUAUCCAUCCAAGGAAGUUGUAAGAGGCCCAAACACUGAACUUGCAUCUUAAAAUUUGGCAAGUAAAAAAAAAAAAGAAGAAAAGAUGCCUCCCAAGUAGAAACCAAAAAACAGAAAAGCAAAAAACAUUUGAAAACAAUCUCGUGUUUCACAGUUUGAACUGAGAUAAAAUAGGCGGCUUUGCCAUGCGAUCAGAAUACACGCUGUGCAUCCAUAGCUUUCCGGUUACUUACAAACUCGCGAAUCGCCGUAAGGACUAGAUGUGCUUAGUGGUCCGAUAGAUUGAAUAAAAAAGCUGAAAAGGUCCA